CCCAUCAGCUUCCCCCAACUUGGUGGGGGUGUCCCCAGGCAGGGAAAAGCAGCAUUAUUUACCCCAUGCAGAAUCCUGCUCCAUGACAAGCCAAGGUUUGUUUGGCUCCCUCUGCUCUCCUUCCUGCUGAUGGGUGUUGAUCCUGCUCUGGGAUAAAACAGUUUUCCCAGUGACUUAGUGAGGCAUUGCCACCCUUGGAAAAGGAGGAGAAACUGUGAUGCAAACUUCUAGUAAACUGAUUUCCCUGUACAAGAACUGUAAUCCUGCACUCUUCAUGAACUGCAAAAUUACU
Calypte anna (Anna's hummingbird) is the source of this 292-nucleotide long non-coding RNA. RefSeq lists it as uncharacterized. The transcript is spliced from 3 exons. The record is from RefSeq and is a predicted model, not a curated record. Lineage: Eukaryota; Metazoa; Chordata; Aves; Apodiformes; Trochilidae.